CCUACGGGAGGCAGCAGUGGGGAAUAUUGCGCAAUGGCCGAAAGGCUGACGCAGCGACGCCGCGUGGGGGAUGAAGCAUUUCGGUGUGUAAACCCCUGUUGCUCGGGACGAACAACUGGUUUUGACCAGUCUGACGGUACCGGGUGAGGAAGCACCGGCUAACUCCGUGCCAGCAGCCGCGGUAAUACGGAGGGUGCGAGCGUUGUCCGGAAUCACUGGGCGUAAAGGGCGCGUAGGCGGUCUGCUAAGCGUGUGGUGAAAGCUCGGGGCUCAACCCUGAGUCGGCCAUGCGAACUGGUGGACUAGAGCACUGUAGAGGCAGGUGGAAUUCCGGGUGUAGCGGUGGAAUGCGUAGAGAUCCGGAAGAACACCGGUGGCGAAGGCGGCCUGCUGGGCAGUAGCUGACGCUGAGGCGCGACAGCGUGGGGAGCAAACAGGAUUAGAUACCCUGGUAGUCCACGCCGUAAACGAUGGGCACUAGGUGCUUGGGGGAGNGACCCCCCGGAGUGCCGGCGCUAACGCAUAGUGCCCGCCGUCGGGAGGUACGACCGCGAGGUUAGAACGUACGAAGGAAGUUAGACGGCGUGAGACGUGCCGACGGACGACGACGAGGGAGGAGG
Molecule: ribosomal RNA, 620 nt
Filed under: uncultured bacterium
Lineage: Bacteria
Description: bacterial SSU rRNA
Rfam family: Bacterial small subunit ribosomal RNA (bases 1-534)
Source: RNAcentral